RNAcentral lists this small nuclear RNA (132 nucleotides) under Marchantia polymorpha subsp. ruderalis. RNAcentral describes it as "U4 spliceosomal RNA". It matches the Rfam family "U4 spliceosomal RNA". Rfam says of the family: U4 small nuclear RNA (U4 snRNA) is a component of the major U2-dependent spliceosome. The structure of U4 snRNA from yeast and human has been reported. The record is from Rfam by way of RNAcentral. Lineage: Eukaryota; Viridiplantae; Streptophyta; Marchantiopsida; Marchantiales; Marchantiaceae.
AUCUUUGCGCUUGGGGCAAUGAUACAGGUGAAACCGAGACGCGUCAAUUGCUGGUUGAAAACUAUUUCCUACUCUUUUUUGUCGAUUCAGUUCAAUUCCAACUGUAUGACUUGUUCACACAUCUGUCAGGUU